RNAcentral lists this long non-coding RNA (569 nucleotides) under Phoenix dactylifera (date palm). RNAcentral describes it as "long non-coding RNA (PDAC_LNC008722)". Lineage: Eukaryota; Viridiplantae; Streptophyta; Magnoliopsida; Arecales; Arecaceae. The record is from RNAcentral.
AUGGCGAGUCUUGAGUCCAUAGUGUGGAGAUACUGGAGGGAUUGUGCAAGUGCUUGUUAGAGAACAAGGGUACUGAGCGUGGCCAUAGCAAGUAGUCACUUGGAUGUCUAUCCACUCGUCAGUGAUUUACUUGAUGCUGCAGUUGUAUGACUGGUCCUUUGACCUGCGAUGCCUCGGCUAUUCACAGUGAGGUUGUUAUAGUUUGACGAGCACAUAAAUAUGGGCCCUAUCCAUUUGGGUUCUUGUGGUGCAGAUUGGCUGCAGUAGGUUCAUUGUAGGAGUAGGGGUGCAUCUAGAUGGAAUCUAUCGGCCUUGAUAAAUUAGGAUAUAACCUAUGUAAUUUAUGAGACUGAGUUCGUAAAUCCUUGGCCAAAGUACUUUUUUGAAAAGAGUUUUCCAAUCUCGAACUAGAGUCGAAUAAAUCUUGACAUAUGACAGAUGAUGGGGUUUGACGAGUGAUCCAUGACCUCCAUCUUGUCGGGUUCCACAAUAGAGGAAUUGUAUCAUACGCUAAUUGCAACUAGAGAUCCAUCUAUUCUAUUCUGCUAGGUAGCCACUACAUGCUGCUA